This 253-nucleotide ribosomal RNA is filed under the name uncultured bacterium. RNAcentral describes it as "partial 16S ribosomal RNA". It matches the Rfam family "Bacterial small subunit ribosomal RNA", at positions 524 to 776 of the family's 1533-position model. The record is from RNAcentral.
UACAGAGGUCUCGAGCGUUAGGCGGAAUCACUGGGCUUAAAGCGUGUGUAGGUGGAUCGUUAAGUACCUUGUGAAAUCCCACGGCUUAACCGUGGAACUGCUUGGUAUACUGGCGGUCUUGAGCCACUUAGGGGCUACCGGAACAAAUGGUGGGGCGGUGAAAUGCGUAGAUAUCAUUUGGAACGCCAAUGGUGAAAACAGGUAGCUGGGAGUGUGCUGACACUGAGACACGAAAGCCAGGGGAGCAAACGGG